This 253-nucleotide ribosomal RNA is filed under the name uncultured bacterium. RNAcentral describes it as "partial 16S ribosomal RNA". It matches the Rfam family "Bacterial small subunit ribosomal RNA", at positions 524 to 776 of the family's 1533-position model. The record is from RNAcentral.
UACAGAGGUCUCAAGCGUUGUCCGGAAUCAUUGGGCGUAAAGCGCGUGUAGGCGGUUCGGUAAGUCCGCUGUGAAAGUCGGGGGCUCAACCCUCGAAAGCCGGUGGAUACUGUCGGGCUAGAGUACGGAAGAGGCGAGUGGAAUUCCUGGUGUAGCGGUGAAAUGCGCAGAUAUCAGGAGGAACACCUAUUGCGAAGGCAGCUCGCUGGGACGUUACUGACGCUGAGACGCGAAAGCGUGGGGAGCAAACAGG